Molecule: long non-coding RNA, 649 nt
Filed under: Equus caballus (horse)
Lineage: Eukaryota; Metazoa; Chordata; Mammalia; Perissodactyla; Equidae
Description: lncRNA (ENSECAG00000059002.1)
Source: RNAcentral
GCCAAAGCCAUGAAUGAAAGGAGGGUGUGACUAAGUCUGAAAGGAUCACAGUGCCAACCAUUGUGAGGUAGGGGUGAAUCAACAGAAGCAGGCUACCGAAUUUCCAGGAGCAGUCACCAUGCACUUGUUGAGCAAAAGACAAGGAGUGUCCUCAAAAGCAAAUUCCAACACAGACAGUCUCUAGCAUAUGAGAAGCAAAGCUAUCUCCUCCUUAACCUCAGGCCUGGGUUUUGAUAUCAACGGCUCAACGAAGCUCUUCUGACCAUGCUAUCUCAGCUGAUGAACUUGUGGAGGGCAGAGGCCAUGUCUUCCCUUUCCAGUACAUAGCCAGGCUCCAGCUCAUUCCAGACACUCAAGACAUGACUGCGUUAUGGAAAGGAAGAACUACCAAACCAGAGAAGCCAGAAAGGAAGAAUGAAUUUCAAUGUUGCCUGUGUAGUUUAAAUUUCUCACAGACAAAAGUUUUGGGGUCUGGCAAGAUUAAGCUUCUAAACCACUGUUUUCUAAGGCCUCUUUCUGCUAUCAGUCUGGAACAAGGAGCUGGAGGAAGUGGAGGCAAGGCGGAAGGAGAAAAAAGAAUCAUCGAACGUUUGUGCAUGCAGAAGAGUUAGAGUCAUCUUGGGAGCUAAAUACAAGAGUCAGAACAAUC